Abrus precatorius (Indian licorice) is the source of this 107-nucleotide small nucleolar RNA. RefSeq annotates it as small nucleolar RNA Z152/R70/R12. The transcript has a single exon. The record is from RefSeq and is a predicted model, not a curated record. NCBI's taxonomy places the organism in Eukaryota, Viridiplantae, Streptophyta, Magnoliopsida, Fabales, Fabaceae.
GGUGCAAUGAUGAUACGAAGCACAUAGGUGUUUUUGGGCAGUGGACGAUACCACAAGGUUUCGCCGUGAGCCCUUAUUUUUAACGACUUCUCCUUCCACUGAGCACU